GACGAACGCUGGCGGCGUGCUUAACACAUGCAAGUCGAACGGAAAGGCCCUGCUUUUGUGGGGUGCUCGAGUGGCGAACGGGUGAGUAACACGUGAGUAACCUGCCCUUGACUUUGGGAUAACUUCAGGAAACUGGGGCUAAUACCGGAUAGGAGCUCCUGCUGCAUGGUGGGGGUUGGAAAGUUUCGGCGGUUGGGGAUAGACUCGCGGCUUAUCAGCUUGUUGGUGGGGUAGUGGCUUACCAAGGCUUUGACGGGUAGCCGGCCUGAGAGGGUGACCGGGCACAUGGGGACUGAGAUACGGCCCAGACUCGUACGGGAGGCAGCAGUGGGGAAUAUGGCACAAUGGGCGGAAGCCUGAUGCAGCAACGCCGCGUGCGGGAUGACGGCCUUCGGGUUGUAAACCGCUUUCGCCUGUGACGAAGCGUGAGUGACGGUAAUGGGUAAAGAAGCACCGGCUAACUACGUG
This 468-nucleotide ribosomal RNA is filed under the name uncultured bacterium. RNAcentral's name for it is "partial 16S ribosomal RNA". It matches the Rfam family "Bacterial small subunit ribosomal RNA", at positions 28 to 507 of the family's 1533-position model. The record is from RNAcentral.